GAUGAACGCUGGCGGCGUGCCUAAUACAUGCAAGUCGAGCGAACGGACGAGAAGCUUGCUUCUCUGAUGUUAGCGGCGGACGGGUGAGUAACACGUGGAUAACCUACCUAUAAGACUGGGAUAACUUCGGGAAACCGUAGCUAAUACCGGAUAAUAUUUUGAACCGCAUGGUUCAAAAGUGAAAGACGGUCUUGCUGUCACUUAUGGAUGGAUCCGCGCUGCAUUAGCUAGUUGGUAAGGUAACGGCUUACCAAGGCAACGAUGCAUAGCCGACCUGAGAGGGUGAUCGGCCACACUGGAACUGAGACACGGUCCAGACUCCUACGGGAGGCAGCAGUAGGGAAUCUUCCGCAAUGGGCGAAAGCCUGACGGAGCAACGCCGCGUGAGUGAUGAAGGUCUUCGGAUCGUAAAACUCUAUUAUUAGGGAAGAACAUAUGUGUAAGUAACUGUGCACAUCUUGACGGUACCUAAUCAGAAAGCCACGGCUAACUACGUG
This 497-nucleotide ribosomal RNA is filed under the name uncultured bacterium. RNAcentral describes it as "partial 16S ribosomal RNA". It matches the Rfam family "Bacterial small subunit ribosomal RNA", at positions 28 to 507 of the family's 1533-position model. The record is from RNAcentral.